RNAcentral lists this ribosomal RNA (253 nucleotides) under uncultured bacterium. RNAcentral describes it as "partial 16S ribosomal RNA". It matches the Rfam family "Bacterial small subunit ribosomal RNA", at positions 524 to 776 of the family's 1533-position model. The record is from RNAcentral.
UACGUAGGGGGCAAGCGUUAUCCGGAUUUACUGGGUGUAAAGGGAGCGUAGACGGCGAGACAAGCCUGGAGUGAAAGGCGGGGGCCCAACCCCCGGACUGCUCUGGGAACUGUCUGGCUGGAGUGCAGGAGGGGUAGGUGGAAUUCCUAGUGUAGCGGUGAAAUGCGUAGAUAUUAGGAGGAGCACCAGUGGCGAAGGCGGCUUACUGGACUGUAACUGACGUUGAGGCUCGAAAGCGUGGGGAGCAAACAGG